RNA transcript from Serinus canaria (Common canary), 7847 nucleotides. It is a transcript of the gene named leucine rich repeats and calponin homology domain containing 1, with no coding region annotated. The transcript has 20 exons. The record is from RefSeq and is a predicted model, not a curated record. NCBI's taxonomy places the organism in Eukaryota, Metazoa, Chordata, Aves, Passeriformes, Fringillidae.
CGCCGCCGCCGCCGCGAGCGGGAGGAGGAGGAGGAGGAGGAGGAAGGAGGAGGGAGAGAAGAAGGGAAGGAGGGAGGCAGGUCCGGUGGCCCUCUCGGGUAGCCCCAGCGGCGAGGGAAAGAUGGCGACGCUGGGAGGCGAGUCGCAGCCCUUCCCCUCUGCUGCUCUGGCGGCGGCAGCCGGGGUGGGCGGCGGCGGCGGCGGCAGCGGGGCGCUGGGUCUUCAGGCGCCGCUGAACCGCGGUCUGGAGCGGGCGCUGGAGGAGGCGGCGCACUCCGGGGGGCUCAACCUGAGCGGCAGGAAGCUGAAGGAGUUCCCGCGCAGCGCCGCCGCCCUCAGCCACGACCUCUCCGACACGGUGCGGGCAGAUUUAUCCAAGAAUAGGUUAACUGAAGUUCCUACGGAGUUGUGUCAUUUUGUGUCACUGGAAUCACUAAAUCUUUACCACAAUUGUAUCAAAGUUAUACCAGAUGCCAUAGUUAACUUACAAAUGCUAACUUACUUAAAUUUGAGUCGAAAUCAGCUUUCUUCUUUGCCAGCUUGCCUGUGUGGUCUUCCUCUAAAAGUCUUAAUUGCAAGUAACAAUAAGCUAGGUUCCCUUCCAGAAGAGAUAGGUCAGCUAAAACAGUUAAUGGAAUUGGAUGUCAGCUGUAAUGAAAUCACAGCUUUGCCACAGCAGAUAGGACAGCUGAAAUCUUUAAAAGAACUGAAUGUCAGAAGAAAUUACCUCGAAGUUUUACCCCAAGAACUAGUACAGCUUCCCUUAGUAAAGUUUGACUUUUCCUGCAAUAAAGUGCUUGUGAUUCCAAUUUGUUUUAGAAAGAUGUUGCAGUUACAAGUAUUACUGCUUGAGAAUAAUCCUUUGCAAUCUCCACCAGCACAAAUUUGUACAAAGGGUAAGGUGCAUAUAUUCAAAUAUCUGACUGUACAAGCCUGUCAGAUUAAAACAGCAGACUCACUGUAUCUUAAUGCUAUUGAACCACAGCAUUUGCCACAACCUGUGGAAGAGAGCAUUGAUGACAUCUAUCCAAGUAAAAAGGACUCAGAUUCAGGUGUUGGUAGUGAUAAUGGUGAUAAACGUUUGUCAGCAACAGAGCCAUCUGAUGAAGAUACUAUCAGCUUUAAUGUUCCAAUGUCAGACAUUGUGGAAGAAGAUCAUAUUAUAAAGGAUGAUUCAGGUCACCAUGCUAACUCAAGAAAAGUGGAAUUCCAUCAAGGAUCUUCUCACACGUUUGUCAGUGAUAAAUCACGAGAAACAGGAAACCAGUUUGAUGAACAUGAUACUCUUACUACUGAAUUUAUGACCUACAUUAAGAGCAGAGCAGCAGAGUGUGAUGAAUUAUUGAGAAUAGAAGAGGACACGCAAUGGCAAGCAGACGAAAUAAUAAAUUUAUCAGAAGAACAAACUAUUGAUAUAGCAAUGAUAGAACAACUAAGAGAAGCUGUAGAUUUAUUACAAGAUUCCAACAGUGGUCAAAUACAGAUGGACAUGUCUUCUCUUGGUCAGAGAGAAAUUUCUGAAGAGGAACUGGAAUUCCAGAGGAGGAGGGAGUUGAUUAUGGAGAAAGCAAAGCCUGAAGCAAGACCUUGUGAACAGGGUGAAAAAUGGUCAUUGAGCCAGAAUGAUCUAAUUGUUUGGAACACAAGUGGUCAGACCUCUCACAAUGAGAAUAAGGAUAAAAGUCCAGCAAUGUCUCCUACUACAAACACCGCAAUCCCUUUUGGCCUGAAGCCACGAUCAGUGUUCUUAAGACCACAAAGAAAUUUGGAAUCAAUAGACCCACAGUUCACAAUCCGAAGGAAAAUGGAGCAGAUGAGAGAAGAAAGAGAGCUUGUGGAACAGCUACGUGAGAACAUAGAAACAAGACUAAAGAUCUGUUUGCCCGAAGACCUGGGCUCGGCUCUGAUGGAUGGUGUCGUUCUGUGCCAUUUAGUCAAUCACGUUCGCCCUCGGUCUGUCGGGAGCAUUCAUGUACCCUCACCAGCAGUACCUAAACUUAGCAUGGCCAAAUGCAGGAGAAACGUGGAAAACUUUUUGGAUGCAUGUAGAAAACUGGGAAUACCAGAGUUACUUCUCCAUAGUUUCAUCGUGAGACAUCCAUGAAAUUGCAGUAAGUUUUAUCAGGUAUGACUCAUUUCUCCACCUUUUCCCUCUGGAUUUGGUAAUGGACACUUUGGCCUACGGUAUGGAGUUAAGAGGUUCAAUACACUCUCAAUUACAGUCCUAAAAGCAGAGUUCUGAGCUUCCUUUCAUUUAUGUUUUGAGUAUAGUGCAUAUGCACUACAGAUUUCUUUCUUUAAUGCACUUCUGCAAACUUACUCUUGACUUUUUACCAGAGUGUAAAUCCAAGGAGGUCAGUUCUGAAAUGCUCUGUUUUCAGUUACUGCAGGAGCAUGCAGAAUGAGGGUGGUUUGUGCACACAAACAGCUGGUUAUGCUUUUGCUGUCCCAUUUCUGUCUUACUGUGUUUAUUCCCAGGUGAAUGAUUGACAGCUCUAUGAUUUAAUCAUACAGCUUCAUAGAUAUAACAUGUCAGUGCAUAAAUGUAAUUAUUAAAUAGAUAUAUCUUUUUCAUUCUUACUAGCAAAAAUUUUAGUCCUCUAAAUGAGAGGGGCAGUGUUUGUCAUAGAUGGGUGGAUGGGUGAUUAUCUUUGAGACUUGGUAUGGAGGUCAUAUGCUUUUUUACUAUUUCAUGAUGUCAUGUUUUAAUUUUGUAUUUUUAUUGCACAAUAUCAGUGCAGUAAGUGAAAAUACUUCUUCUGUUUUAGAAAAGCUAUAUAUUUUUCAUCUACAGUUACAUUUCAGAAAUCUAAAAUACAUAAAAUAUAAAUAAUUUAUAUUAUAAGGUGUGAAUAUAACACCAGGUUAUCCAUCAUCACAGAACACACUAAAAUAGAUAUUCCUAAGGCUUCCCCAAGUUUCACUGAAUUUAACUAAAACACAUCAUGGCAGUUCCUGUAGAAAGUUUCUUCUGCAUGUGUUGGCUGGUUUUGUAUGCUUUGGCUUCUCCUUAUGCUGCUUAGGAUGUUAAUCUUGGGUUAGAAACUUCAUCAGUAUCUGUAAAAAGUCAACCUACUACCAGCUCUCAGUCUCUAAAGUCUGAAAUUACUCCCCUUGCCAUUUGACUCCAGUAGGGACUAUUGGCAUUGUUUUGGGGUUUUUUUGGACAAAAAUUUUAAAAAGUCCUUGUUACAAAGGUCUGGCAUUUUAUUUUUAAAAUAUAAGUUGAAUGUAUCUUAGAUAUUUACUUUUGGUAUGUAUUUGCAGUAAGUAGGAUUUGAGUCUUGGAUAUUGUUCCAAAAUUAAUCCGGCAUUUACUGGGUUUAUUGGUGUCUUUGGUACAAAUGCAAUAUAUUAUGUAGUUGGUAGUCACGAAUAGUUUGCACUAAAACUUGUUUCUGUGGUAAGCAGCUUGUGGCUGUAGGUGUUCUCAAAUACAGUACUAAAUCCAUCCCAUUCUGAAACAAGAUCAGAAUGUUUUGUGCUGUCUGUGAGUUUCCAUACUCUAAAAAAUAACAGAAUUGCACUGAAGUUUAUUAUCACAUUACAGUUUUGAGUUAAAAAAUUCUGAAAAAGGACUGCAAAAAAAGUGCUGUUGCUAAGCAGGUUGGUUCUCUGCUCUGUAUCUGCUGGCCUAAGUAAAAAAAAAUUGCAGCUUUUGACUCCUGGUAAAGCUAGAACCACUCAUGGUAAGAAAAAAAUAAAAAAGGGAAAAAAGUGUCACUAUUAAAUUUGUGUAUGAAUGACAGUUUUGACUUCCAAUUUCACUAGCCACUUUUCAGGAUAAACAUUUUAAGUAUUUUAAAGUUUAAUUUAUUUCAAACUGGAGUUUCAAACUUUGCACCAACAGAAAACAGACAUUGAACUUCCAUGUCUUGUUUUAUUUGGUGUACUGUCAGUUCAUUAAGGAAAUGAGACUGAAAAGCUUCCACAGGAGCAGCAUUCUUUUAAAUUCUUACUGCAUGUAAUUUUGUUCAGUAAGUAUUCAUUGUCUCAGUAAGGCCUUAUUUACUAUGUAAAAUGGUGUAUCUUAGAUUGCAUUUUGAAAGUACUAGUGUUGCGUGGUUUGAUUUAAAUGUUAAAUAUUGUGUGAAUAUAUUGGUACUAUUACAUAUUGCACUUCAUAUUGUAUAGCUAGUCCAGAGGAAAUUGCCACAUCAAGUCAUUGAUACUUUCCAAAAAGGUAUGGGAAUCUAACCUGCUAAUAUUAUAAAAACUUCUAUGUAAGAAAUUUAGUGUCCAAUGCUUCAGUUUGGAAACUUUAUUGAAAUUAAGUAUAGUUAGUGCUACAAUGCCUUCUUGAGUUUCUAUCCCUGGGUAUCAUUUGAGGUGAUAUUUGGAUACCAAGUUUUAAAUUAUUAUAUUAGAGAAUUUUGCAUACUUCUAAUGAUUUCUGUAAGUACUUUUUCUUUAGAUUUCAUAUUGCUGCUGCUUGUGCUUUUAACAGCUUUCUAACCCACUCUUUGCUAUUUUUAAGUUAGUUUUUUCAGUUGGUUCCAUUUAAGCAUUUGAAUAAGGUCCAGAUGGGCAAAGAUGUGCGAACCUCAUUGGAAUGAGCGGAUCAAAAGCACUUCCUCACCCUUGUGAACUUGGGCACAAUUUUGGCCAAUUAGAAGGCUUGAGCUCUUCUGUCUUAACAUUCUGAUGUUAUAUGAUAGCUUGAUAGCUUCAGUAUUUAGAGGAAAUAAAAGAAAGCUGUGGGAUGUGUAGUGACUUAGGCAAUACUAGGAAGAAACUAUUCCUACAUGUUUAUGCUGGAAUAUUGUGAUAAUUUAUUUACCAAUAUCUUUCUGGUUUUGUAUUUUUAAUUUUUUGCACUCUUUUUCUGUUCUAAUGGCUGCCCUUCGGGAUAGGCUGACCUCUGCUCUCCGUAUGACAUCCUGCAGUCGGAUAUUCGUCACAUUCGAAAGACUGUUGACACUCUGCUCGCCCUCGGGGAGAAACCCCCACAAUCAACUUCUACUUUUCGCUCCUGGGAUCUAUUAGGCUUUUGUCUUUUCCAUAUACUUUUUAUAGUCUUGAUGUAUAUAACUUAUCACUGGAAUUUGCUAACAGCAUAACCUGUUCGCAUGUGCGCACAAACUUUCUGCUUUGUCUCUGAAAAAUUACAGGAGAAGCUCUGCCUACCACAUCACAUCCUAGAAGAAAAGGGCUUGGUAAAAGUGAGCAUAACAGUUCAAGCAUUGCUAGAUGUAACCACAGUGAAACAAGCUUUAUUCACAUGAAACUACUCUCUCUGCUGUUACCAGCUACACUGUGCCAUGAACAAAUCAAAAAGCUGCCCAUUUUUUCAAACUGCAUUGAAAACAACUCCAGUACUCCAAGAGUAUUCUUAUGAUUUUAAGCCCAUGUUUCAGACUGUACAUAUGUGUUGAACUACAAAGCAGAAACUGAACAGAAACAUUUUCUAGAGGAAGUUGGCACUUCACUGCUUUUAUAGCUCACUUUGUACAGUACUUACUAAAACAACACCUCUCUGCCACUUAAAAUCGUGUGGAGUACACAGCUGUCUUGCAGCAAGAUACUUUGUAUUACUAAACUAAGAAUCACUGUAAUCACCUGGGGGGAGGGAGAAGGGAGAGUAAAUCAGACUGCUACCACCUUAGGUUUUUCUGCAGUUGCUUCAGGCUAUUGCCUUUUAAAAAUAUCCAGACAUUAAAUAUUUAUAUAAAUAUUAUUUAUUAGUGAGUUGUUAUUCAUCCUUUGGAUGCAAAAUGUAAAUUAGGAAACUGUAUUUUAUUACUGCUUUUUUUGUGGUUAAACACUUUAUUUUAAUAUAAAUACUUAGUUAUUUUUUAUUCUACUUGGUGUGCAGUAGCUCUAGAUCUCCGUAAAUCGUAUUUUCUAAUAUGUAAGAUAAAAAGUAAACAAAAUAGGUGCUUCUAUUAAAAGAACAGCUAGCUGGAAUGGCAUUCUUUAUUUCUUGAAUCUGUGGAACCUUGGUAAAAAAUUGUCUGCAUUCCAUUGAGUUUCCUACAUUCCAGUAACACCUCUCCCCUCACUAGAUAGACUAAAUUGGCUGAAAGUGAGAGCACACCCAUUUUAUUUGUAUAUAGAUGUUUAAAAACAAAAGGAAAUAUGUAAACUUGAAAAAUAAAUGUGAAAAAAUAUUUUUGAUUGCUUAUUUUGCUAUGCACAAGACAUUUAAGUUUUGCCACAACAAAAUUAUUUAUGUGCAUUAGGAUCAUGUGUCUUGAAAUGUAAUUUUGCACUGUAACUUGAUUUCUUUUAAAGAUUACAGCACUACAGAACAAAUAGUAAAAAAUAGCACAAGAACGUUAACAAGAUUAACAGGUAGCCAAAAAAUUAACUUGUUUUCUUCAGUGAUUCCUUCAAGAGGAGACAAAAUGACUGAAAUUGCCAAAGGCAGUCUCAAAGACCUGAUCUUCCAAAUCCAACCUGCCUGGGUGCUUCUCUUUAAAAGUAUCCACAGAAUUAAGCACAAUGUUCUGUAGUGCACAUUUGCAGCAUCAGACCUCUACUUCCAUGUCAGCAAUAGGAAAUAAAAGUUCUUCUCCUUCUUACCACUUUACAUUUUUCAAAGAGGUUUUUAAAAGUAUACUUUAUUAUUAAGACAUCACGCAUUUUAGAUCAAAAAGUUCCAGCACAGUAAUUCUUCUGCUAUCUGGAACAUCCCAUUUUCAUUCACACAAGAAGCCAGUGAUGGGACUUGGGCAAGCAGGAUAGGGCAGCAGCAUGUGGUGAAAAGGAAAGCUGGCUGGGGACACACAAGCAGGGAGUUUGAAGUGUAGAGUGGCAAAAAAAAGAGGCAAGGGGGUGUGAGGACUAAAUAUUUAAGCAAGAGAAUACAGAGAGAGCCUGUUGUAUGAAGGCUUUUGGGCAGAGUGAUGCAUACUUGUCACUGCCCCCUUUAAACCCACCCAUGUUGAGCAGCAGAUCUGCUGGGCUUCAGCCAGUGCUGAGCGCAGAGCACGCACUUCAACACCACCACUUGCUCCAGGGCUGGGAGGUAGUGACAGCAGCGUGUGAGGAGGAGCAAAGGGGACUCGCAGACAAUGUGCCAGACAGUAUGCAUGGAAUAUCCAGUUACUUCAACCAAAGCAAAAACAUUUAUUUUAUAGAGGGAACAUAGACUUAAAUUGUAAUUUGAUUGGCAGCUAGCAUAUUGUUUCCUAUAAAAUGUACUGUGCACUUUAAAUGAAAAUGUAUUUUAAUAUUUUACAGAGCUGCACAAAUAUCUGUUUUGUCAAAAAGCACGAGCAAUGUAAAGAAAAUAAGUUUUCAAGUCAGAGUUUAUCAAAUUUUAGAAGCAUUCAAGGAUCAAGUAUAAAAAUAGGAAUAUUGAUUUCUGCAUCUUGAGGGUAAAAAUGCAGGUUUCCUGAGUAUUUUUUUACAAUGUAUAUAUGGCAACAUGAAGCUUUGUAAUUAUUAUUAUUUUGACAAAUCUUGUUUUUUCAUAAUUAAAAUUUUGUUUUUCUCCUGAUAGCGUCUUUCAGUAUUUGCUUGAACUUAGCUGUAAAUAAAUAGCUCUAAGUAUUUUGUAAUACAGCUUUUUUUAUGCAGUCUUAACCUGUAUGGCUAAAAAGAGAAUCUUCAUGAUCCUUUGUACAAUAUUUAUAUGUGCAAUAAAACAUGCAUGGCAAAUCUGUAAUACCCUCCGCAGUGAACAUAAUGUAUAUAGAAAAUCUUUACUGUAGUUACAAUUAAACUAUAUUAUUUGCAGAAACCCUUUAAUGCCUAUCCCUGUGCCUGGUGAUUUCUUGUAAAAGACAUGGUAGUUGGAGAGCGUAACACUGGAAAUUACGGGUUUGGGGAUGGGGGAAGAUGAUGAUGUGAUGCAAAUAAAGGCAUUUUGCAGCUAAAGUAGGUAUACGAUCCAGCUGGUA